RNAcentral lists this ribosomal RNA (468 nucleotides) under uncultured bacterium. RNAcentral describes it as "partial 16S ribosomal RNA". It matches the Rfam family "Bacterial small subunit ribosomal RNA", at positions 28 to 507 of the family's 1533-position model. The record is from RNAcentral.
GACGAACGCUGGCGGCGUGCUUAACACAUGCAAGUCGAACGGAAAGGCCCUGCUUUUGUGGGGUGCUCGAGUGGCGAACGGGUGAGUAACACGUGAGUAACCUGCCCUUGACUUUGGGAUAACUUCAGGAAACUGGGGCUAAUACCGGAUAGGAGCUCCUGCUGCAUGGUGGGGGUUGGAAAGUUUCGGCGGUUGGGGAUGGACUCGCGGCUUAUCAGCUUGUUGGUGGGGUAGUGGCUUACCAAGGCUUUGACGGGUAGCCGGCCUGAGAGGGUGACCGGAUGGACUGGGAGAGACAGAUGGCCAACAGUACUACGGGAGCCACAAGGGGCGAAGAGUCCGCCAGGGGCGAGAGCCUGAGGGAGCAAUGGUGGGUGGGUGAUCACUGAUCCAAGACUGGAAACCGACUCCGCCCGUGACCAACCGGCAGUGACGGUAAUGGAUAGAGAGGCGUCAGAUAAGCAAGUC